Molecule: ribosomal RNA, 500 nt
Filed under: uncultured bacterium
Lineage: Bacteria
Description: bacterial SSU rRNA
Rfam family: Bacterial small subunit ribosomal RNA
Source: RNAcentral
CUGGCUCAGGAUGAACGCUGGCGGCGUGCCUAAUACAUGCAAGUGAAACGGGUAUCUUCGGAUACCAGUCGCGGACGGGUGAGUAAUACAUAGGCAACCUGCCUUUAUGAGGGGGAUAACCGAGGGAAACUUUGGCUAAUACCGCAUGAAGACUCUAAGGCAUCUUAGAGGGAUAAAAGUUGGGAAACAACGCAUGAAGAUGGGCUUAUGGCGCAUUAGCUAGUUGGUGAGAUAGAAGCCCACCAAGGUAAUGAUGCGUAGCCGACCUGAGAGGGUGAACGGCCACAUUGGGACUGAGACACGGCCCAAACUCCUACGGGAGGCAGCAGUAGGGAAUUUUCGGCAAUGGGGGGAACCCUGACCGAGCAACGCCGCGUGAAGGAAGAAGGUUUUCGGAUUGUAAACUUCUGUUAUAAGGGAAGAACGGAUUGGAUAGGGAAUGAUCUGAUAGUGACGGUACCUUAUUAGAAAGCCACGGCUAACUACGUGCCAGCCGCCGC